This is a non-coding RNA of Sus scrofa (pig), 560 nucleotides long. The record is from RefSeq and is a predicted model, not a curated record. Lineage: Eukaryota; Metazoa; Chordata; Mammalia; Artiodactyla; Suidae.
CUGAGCUUGUACGAAUGUCUGCUUGGUGACUCUUGACGUCUGAGGGCCCUAAACCCCACCCUCAGAAUGUGCUAAUGCCUCCAUUUUAUGAACACACAUCCUACGAAGAAGGCUGUAGCUUAGUGGCACCCACGCAGAACGACCAUUAGUUCUUUUUCUCAUUUCCAGUCACCUUUCCCCACGCUCACCUGGCCUUAGUUUUAUCCUAAAAAUACCACUCGCCCCUUGCUGUAGGGGAGGUGGGUUUGAAAUUUGUUCUUCCAUUUUCUUAUUUGGCUCCCUCGUGAAUAAGCCUUUCCUCUGUUGCAAAACUUAGCGUCUCAGCAUUUGGCAUGCUGCAUAUCGGGGAACAAACCUGGUUUGGAAAGAAGAGGAUGUCGCACGUGUGCUGGGUCUUCCGCAGGGGAGCGUGCCCCGGAACAGAGACUUGAAGCUCUAAGUGUGGUAACAUCCUCCUACCACUACUAGUCUACAGCUCCUUCGGUGUUCCUUGCUGGAUAAUUCUUCUCACACUUUUUAGAUGAGUGAAUAUACAUAAAGCAUUCUCUGCCUGCCCCACG